GUACACUGUAAAAUGUAAUAUUGUGUUUAAUUAAAAAUAUUAAAUAGGCUGAACUCAUUUUUUAUCAAUUUGUUAUUAGAACUCAAUUUAAAUAAGUUACCAGUACUUUUUAUGCAAAAACGCUGAUAAACUCCAUUUAUUUGAGUUGUCUUAACUUAGAAAAACUAAGUAAGCUGGAAGUUUUGCUUCUCAGGGCGGAAGGAUGAAAGAUGUGUUUUGAAAAUGCCACGUGACUGCCGUUCUGCUCCCUCCCGGAUCAGUCCGCAUGUUCAUGGUGCCAGCAUUUGUUAUGGAAUAUAUUGAGCAAACCUGGAGAUAUUAUUGUUGUCAUUGCUGUGGAUCUUUACUGACUUGGUGAGUAAAUGUUUACUCUUAUUCAAACUGAUUUUGUGGCUUCUCUUAGUUUAGCACCAGGUUUAUAAUCUUGCUAGCUAGUUAGUGUUAGCCUAGCGUUGCUGCUGCCGCUGGGCUCAUCUUACUUAAAAAUUAACACCACAGCCUUAAAAACCUUACAUAAAACUAUGUCGGUGAAAUUUUCUGUUGAUUGUUUGAAAUAAAUAAGUGAGAUAAGAGCCCAGACAAAAUUCUUCGGGAGGUGCAGCCGUUAAGGGUGGGGUAGGUAGGGGUGGGGUGGAUAACAGAGCUCUCGAAAGCGUGGAAGCACUUUUGCAAAUAUGUGAUAUUUUGAUAAAUUAAGUAGAUAUUUGAGCAUUACAUAGCUACAUUCUAGCCUGAAAAUAUCUUAAAAGGUUAUUUUGUGACCCAGAAAGGGUAGUCUGCGGAAAAGGAGGAUCGCAUUUGUCGGCCACGGUUGUUGGAGCCUGUGUACUUGUAAGCGCGGCAAUGGCGGAGGAGCGCGGCUAAAAAACUUAUUACUUUUUCUGGGUCACAAAAUAAACUUUUAAGAUAUUUUCAGGCGAGAAUGUAGCUGUGUAAAUUUCAAAUAUCUGCUCGAUUUAUCAAGACAUCACAUAUUUGCAAAAAUGCUCCGACGUUUUCAGAGACGUCCAUUUCUUGUUCAUGCUCUUUGGCAGCUUUUGAACAUCUGUGGCAUCUAUUAAUGUCAAAUCUAGCCUUUAUUUAACAACAUAAGCAAACUCUAUGUUACGAUGAUUGCACAAUCAUUAAGGAUCAAAUCAAUGUUCUGUUUUUUCUCCCUCUGCUUGCUUCUUACUGUCUUUGAGGCCGAUCGGGACCAGCACUCCUGUUGUUGGACAGAAAGACAUCAACUCAGUGACUUGAGAUAUGACUGCACGAUGCUGUUGCUGGUGACCACAGUUAACUCUACAAGACAUGCUGUGACACCAGGAGAGAUGAGUCCUCCAUCACAGAUGGUCAGUGAAGAUGGUCGCCUGCAAGUUCAAGCUCAUUGCAUCUCCAACCCACAUCCACUGCCACUGUACUUAAGGGAAGUUAAAGACUUUCUUCUGCACCUACAUUUGGAUCACCUCGAUCCAUGACAGUCAUUCAGGCAGUAAUGCCUGGACUGGAAACAAGCCGUCCUUAAAAUAAUACAACAUUCCAGCUCAUGUGUUGGAAUGGAAAACAAAUGUGUUGUUUAAAUUAGAGACUGCACUUGUGACAGAACAACAAAUAUUUUAUUUUGAUUAUAUAAGUAAUGUAAGUACAAAACAAACUUGUGGUAGGCCUAAACUUAUUUUCAGAAUAAUUACAUCUGAGACUUUGUUUCAUUGUAAGAUUAUAACAGCGAUGGCAA
Molecule: long non-coding RNA, 1717 nt
Organism: Oreochromis aureus
Lineage: Eukaryota; Metazoa; Chordata; Actinopteri; Cichliformes; Cichlidae
Source: Ensembl